This 253-nucleotide ribosomal RNA is filed under the name uncultured bacterium. RNAcentral describes it as "partial 16S ribosomal RNA". It matches the Rfam family "Bacterial small subunit ribosomal RNA", at positions 524 to 776 of the family's 1533-position model. The record is from RNAcentral.
UACGUAGGGGGCAAGCGUUAUCCGGAUUUACUGGGUGUAAAGGGAGCGUAGACGGUUAAAUAAGUCUGAUGUGAAAGGUGUGGGCUCAACCCAUAACAUGCAUUGGAAACUAUGUAACUAGAGUGCAGGAGAGGUAAGUGGAAUUCCAUGUGUAGCGGUGAAAUGCGUAGAUAUAUGGAGGAACACCAGUGGCGAAGGCGGUCGACUGGCCUAUCACUGACGUUUAGGCACGAAAGCGUAGGGAGCAAAUAGG